This 1224-nucleotide ribosomal RNA is filed under the name metagenome. RNAcentral's name for it is "bacterial SSU rRNA". It matches the Rfam family "Bacterial small subunit ribosomal RNA", at positions 243 to 1457 of the family's 1533-position model. The record is from RNAcentral.
AGCUAGUUGGUGGUGUAACGGACCACCAAGGCGACGAUGGGUAGCUGGUCUGAGAGGAUGGUCAGCCACACUGGGACUGAGAUACGGCCCAGACUCCUACGGGAGGCAGCAGUCGAGAGGCUUUGGCAAUGGGGGAAACCCUGACCAAGCGACGCCGCGUGGAGGAUGAAGGCCCUUGGGUUGUAAACUCCUUUUGUCGGGGAAGAAAUGCGAUCAGGUGAACAAUCUGGUCGUUUGACGGUACCCGACGAAUAAGCUCCGGCUAACUCCGUGCCAGCAGCCGCGGUAACACGGGGGGAGCAAGCGUUGUUCUGAAUCACUGGGCGUAAAGGGCGUGUAGGCGGAUAGGUAAGUGGAACGUGAAAUCCCUCGGCUCACCCGAGGACCUGCGUCCCAAACUGCCUGUCUUGAGUACGGGAGAGGAUGAGGGAAUUCCUGGUGUAGCGGUGAAAUGCGUAGAUAUCAGGAGGAACACCGGCGGCGAAGGCGCUCAUCUGGCCCGAUACUGACGCUGAGGCGCGAAAGCUAGGGGGAGCAAACGGGAUUAGAUACCCCGGUAGUCCUAGCCGUAAACGGUGAUCACUAGGUGUUGGAGGCAACGACCCCUCCAGUGCCGCAGCUAACGCAUUAAGUGAUCCGCCUGGGGAGUACGGCCGCAAGGUUGAAACUCAAAGGAAUUGACGGGGGCCCGCACAAGCGGUGGAGCAUGUGGUUUAAUUCGACGCAACGCGAAGAACCUUACCCAGACUUGACAUGCAGCGGACCGGUGUGGAAACACACCUUCCCUUCGGGGCCGUUGCACAGGUGCUGCAUGGCUGUCGUCAGCUCGUGUCGUGAGAUGUUGGGUUAAGUCCCGCAACGAGCGCAACCCUUGUCCUUAGUUGCUAACGGAUAAUGCUGAGCACUCUAAGGAGACUGCCGGUGAUAAACCGGAGGAAGGUGGGGAUGACGUCAAGUCCUCAUGGCCCUUACGUCUGGGGCUACACACGUGCUACAAUGGCCGGUACAAAGGGUUCCGAUACCGCGAGGUGGAGGCAAUCCCAAAAACCCGGUCUCAGUUCGGAUUGCAGUCUGCAACUCGACUGCAUGAAGUCGGAAUCGCUAGUAAUCGCUGAUCAGCAGGCAGCGGUGAAUACGUUCCCGGGCCUUGUACACACCGCCCGUCAAGCCACGAAAGUUGGUAGUACCCGAAGUCGGUGUGCCAACCGUAAGGGGGCAGCCGCC